ACCGGUAACGGCGUCUCAGCGGCCUUGGCGCCUUCCGCGGGGGCCAGGCUGCCCGGGCGGCGGCCUCCCGCGCCUCUUCCGCGGCGGCUGGCGAAGGCCCGGGGCGCCGACCAGCGAUGUCGGAGGCGAGUGGAAGCGAUGAUUUCUCUUCUUCCUCCUCCUCCUCGCAGAGCUCGAGUGCGGAGCGCGGCCGCCCCUCCACCUCCCGUAACGGCGCCGUGCCCCAGCACAAGCAGCACCGGCUGUCGGGCCGCCCGCUGGCCCCCGAGGAGGAGGGAGAGGAGCCGGAGGCGGCGGGGGAUAAACCCAGGCGGUUGGAGAGCGCCGAGGUCGCCGGCGAUGAGCGGAGCAGGAGGAUGCUCCGGAACCAGUACCGGGAGCUCAUCUGCAGCGUCCAGCAAAAUCGUGAGGAUAUGCUGAGUUCAAAAAGCAACAGACUGACAGAAGCUUUGGAAGAGGCCAAUAAACUGUUCAGUGGAGUUUCCUGUGCGCGAGAGGCUGCGUUGGAUGCCCAAUUUCUUGUCUUAGCAUCAAAUCUGGGAAAGGAGAAGGCCAAUGAGUUGCACUCUGAGAUGACAGCAUUUGAUUCACUAGCAUUUGCGGACGACUUGCUAAACUUCAUGGGGAUAAAUCUCAUAGAACAAAAUGACAGUGAUUCUGAGAGCACUUCAGGUGGCUACUUACCUAGUGAUGCCUGGCAUAAACUGGGAGAAGAAGCUGAAAAGUACUUCAGAAGAGCACCUUCUUUUCACUAUAUGUUGGGAUCUUUCAAGUCUGAUCCUCCCGUACCAAGACAACGGAUUGAGAGGCCAAAAAAAGCUGCAGCAGGAGAAGGAAAACGGGCAAUGCCUGCUCAGUUAAAAAAAAUGGAGGAGUCUCAUCAGGAAGCUACAGAAAAAGAAGUAGAGAGGAUUUUGGGAUUAUUGCAAACUCAUUUUAAAAACGAUCCUGGUACACCUAUUUCCUUCUUUGAUCUUGUGAUCGAUCCAAACUCUUUUGCACGCACUGUGGAAAACAUCUUCCAUGUUUCCUUCAUUAUAAGGGAUGGUUUUGCAAGAUUAAAGCUGGAUGAUGAUAAAUUGCCAAUAAUAGAGCCUUCAAAAGACAACGAGGGAAAGGAGGGUCACCAUAGUGCUGGAGCACGGAACCAGGUUGUCAUAUCUCUGAACCAUCAAGAAUGGAAGGUAUCAGAGAGAGCACUUGAUACUUUUGAUUUAUUUUUUUUUCUUAAGUGUAAAAAUGCAUCCAAGAGCUGUGCUGUUACAUACUCUGAUGAGGGUGGGUGUUCCUGCAUAUAUUAUCACUACAUUUAAUUUUAUGGAUUCCAGAACAAUCACAAAUCUAAUGAAUGUUUUUAAGUGCAAGAAAACUGAGAAUUGGGAUAGCAAUUUCAUAUUUGAUCCUUGAAGCUGGUGUCAGUUUAAGUGCUUUUAAUUCGUGCAGUGACUUGCCUUUAUUCUUCUCUAUGAGGACUGCAUAAGUACGGAGGCUGUUUCUUCCCUUACAUAUGAUACUUGCUUCUAGAUGGGAAAUUCUUCGUGCAGUUUCCUCACUGUUUGUAGUUUGUAAUAAAUCUUAGACAAAAUUAGUUUUUAGCACAUACAACUCUUCUGCUUUCUCCUUCACUCAGAAUGUGCAGAAGAAACUUAGUAAUUUGAAAUAGUGCUUUAGUAUGAGAAACUUAUUACUUGCCUCGUGGUAACUGCAAUGAAAUUGAAAUAGAUCUUGUAACUUACGUUUUUUUGUCAUGUCUGACUAGGAGAUUGUAGAAACAUAUGAAAUAACAGAACCCAUGAUUAGUCCUCCUUAUAGAAAUGAAGAUGAAAUGGAUAUAGCUUAAUUCAGGUGCCUUAAAGAAAAUAUUUUAAAUUUUUUCCUUCAGAAGAGAUUUUAUAUGUAUAUAUUGUAAAAUUAAAUUUAUUUUUAUUGGUACAUCUCGACACUUUAUAUAAGCUGUCUCAUUCAUACCUGUCACAGGGUUAUUACCAUAUACUUCCUAUUUAUUAUGGCUUCGUUUACUACUUUAUAUGAAGUUUACUGAGAAGCUUUCAAGAAAAGGAAAUGCUCUCCCCCUUCUCAUCUCGUCUCUCAGCAAUAGCAACCCGCAAGGGGGAUUUACAUCAUUAACCACCUCUGCUCUGCUAAUCUUAUCUAGAGGAUCUUGGGUGCCGCAGGACAAAUUUGAUACUGUCUUUCUCUUCUGGGAAUCAAGGUUGGACUUAGGAAAAGUAGUCUCAAUGAGAGAUAAAUUCCUCCUUCCUUUUUUCCUAAGUCCGUCAUGUGUAUUUGGUUUUGGAACUCGGGCAGGGCAGCUUUCUUGGGCCACGGCUGUAUUGUCUUCAGAAUAAAUAAAAG
Molecule: RNA transcript, 2355 nt
Organism: Calidris pugnax (ruff)
Lineage: Eukaryota; Metazoa; Chordata; Aves; Charadriiformes; Scolopacidae
Gene: NSMCE4A
Gene name: NSE4 homolog A, SMC5-SMC6 complex component
Exons: 10
Source: RefSeq, a predicted model, not a curated record